CCUACGGGAGGCUGCAGUGAGGAAUAUUGGUCAAUGGCCGCAGGGCUGAACCAGCCAAGUCGCGUGAGGGAUGACGGUCCUAUGGAUUGUAAACCUCUUUUGUCAGGGAGCAAAGGGCGCCACGUGUGGCGCUUUGCGAGUACCUGAAGAAACAGCAUCGGCUAACUCCGUGCCAGCAGCCGCGGUAAUACGGAGGAUGCGAGCGUUAUCCGGAUUUAUUGGGUUUAAAGGGUGCGCAGGCGGAAUGUCAAGUCAGCGGUAAAAUUUCGGGGCUCAACCCCGUCGUGCCGUUGAAACUGGCGUUCUUGAGUGCGCGAGAAGUGUGCGGAAUGCGUGGUGUAGCGGUGAAAUGCAUAGAUAUCACGCAGAACGCCGAUUGCGAAGGCAGCAUACCGGCGCUCAACUGACGCUCAUGCACGAAAGCGUGGGUAUCGAACAGGAUUAGAUACCCGUGUAGUC
This 459-nucleotide ribosomal RNA is filed under the name uncultured bacterium. RNAcentral's name for it is "partial 16S ribosomal RNA". It matches the Rfam family "Bacterial small subunit ribosomal RNA", at positions 338 to 795 of the family's 1533-position model. The record is from RNAcentral.